UGUGGUAGCAUUUAUGCUAAUGUAUCACAGAAAAUAUUUUCUUCAUUUUAUAUCUACCGUGUCCUUUUCAUUCCAUCGAAAAUCGAUUUAUCCCAUUAGAUUUUCAUCGCUUUGUUUCGCGGUGUUUGCUAAUCAAGACUCCAGUAAGAGGGCUCCUACCACUAUUUUAUAAUUAGCGUACAACCAAUAAGAGUACCAGGGUGUUAUGAUGAGGUUCAAAUGAUUAGUUUGUUUUAUCAACAGAAAAAGGCAGAAACUUAAAAGAACAAACCCAAAGAUAAAAUGAACUUCAAUAUUAUUAUUACGCAAUAAAACUAUAAACCCCUUGAGCUUCCAUCAGUGGAAGAAACCAUCGUAUGAAAUCAAAAUCAACCUGUCUAAGAUACAGAUUCGAGCACUCAGACUAUAAUCACUCAAGAGCACAACAAAAAACCAGCCUUCAAUUACAACUAUUUUUCACUCAAGAAGAACACAAUAAUCCUCAAUAUACAAAUCACACAAGAAACAUAUUACAUUGAGAAAGUGUGAAAGAUCGAAAGACUUACAGAUUUCUAGAGUGAGAAAGAGGCGAGGAACUUCAAGAGUCCGAGAGAGAAAGUUGAAUGGAUAAUUC
This 613-nucleotide long non-coding RNA is filed under the name Olea europaea (common olive). RNAcentral describes it as "long non-coding RNA (OEUR_LNC000168)". The record is from RNAcentral. Lineage: Eukaryota; Viridiplantae; Streptophyta; Magnoliopsida; Lamiales; Oleaceae.